This 31-nucleotide non-coding RNA is filed under the name Mus musculus (house mouse). Lineage: Eukaryota; Metazoa; Chordata; Mammalia; Rodentia; Muridae. The record is from RNAcentral.
UCUCAUGGUGCCGGGUNCUUAUACCUAAAGG